UAGUCCACGCCGUAAACGAUGGUCACUAGUUGUUGGGGCUUUAUACCUCAGUGAUUAAGCGAAAGUGAUAAGUGACCCACCUGGGGAGUACGAUCGCAAGAAUGAAACUCAAAGGAAUUGACGGGGGCCCGCACAAGCGGUGGAGCAUGUGGUUUAAUUCGAUGAUACGCGAGGAACCUUACCAGGGCUUAAAUGUAGUAUGACAGGUUUAGAGAUAGACUUUUCUUCGGACAUAUUACAAGGUGCUGCAUGGUUGUCGUCAGCUCGUGCCGUGAGGUGUCAGGUUAAGUCCUAUAACGAGCGCAACCCCUGUUGUUAGUUGCCAUCGAGUAAUGUCGGGAACUCUAACAAGACUGCCGGUGCAAACCGCGAGGAAGGUGGGGAUGACGUCAAAUCAUCACGGCCCUUACGUCCUGGGCCACACACGUGCUACAAUGGUAGGUACAGAGAGCAGCCACUUUGCGAGAAGGAGCGAAUCUAUAAAACCUAUCACAGUUCGGA
This 501-nucleotide ribosomal RNA is filed under the name uncultured bacterium. RNAcentral's name for it is "bacterial SSU rRNA". It matches the Rfam family "Bacterial small subunit ribosomal RNA", at positions 791 to 1297 of the family's 1533-position model. The record is from RNAcentral.